Molecule: non-coding RNA, 135 nt
Organism: Triticum aestivum (bread wheat)
Lineage: Eukaryota; Viridiplantae; Streptophyta; Magnoliopsida; Poales; Poaceae
Source: Rfam
AAUAUACUCCCUCCGUCCGAAAAUAUUUGUCAUCAAAAUGGAUAAAAAGAGAUGUAUCUAGAACUAAAAUACGUCUAGAUACAUCCCCUUUUAUCCAUUUUGAUGACAAGUAUUUCCAGGCAGAGGGAGUAUAUC